Molecule: long non-coding RNA, 1491 nt
Filed under: Gossypium raimondii (Peruvian cotton)
Lineage: Eukaryota; Viridiplantae; Streptophyta; Magnoliopsida; Malvales; Malvaceae
Description: long non-coding RNA (GRAI_LNC004974)
Source: RNAcentral
AGACAGCCUGGACACAUUAAAAUCUCUCUUUUUCAUGCUGAAUCAUCACAUCUGUUUGGCAGAAAAAAAUUUCCAAAACGUUCUUUCUUCAAUCCUGUUACCAUUUUCAAUUCUCUUUCUUUUUGAAAUUUUCUUCAAUCCGGGUUUCUUGACCAUUCCUCUUCCAUGGGUUCUUCGUUGUAGAUCGACUCAUCUCUAACCAGGUACCUCUUUUCCCCAUUUGCUAAUGUUUCUUUUGCUAUUUUGUGGGCUUGGAAGUUCUCUGAUUUUUGAAUAAACUGAAAAUCUAUUUCUUGAAAUAGCGAACUAUGACUCUUGAUAUCUUUGAUAACUACUCCAAUGAUCGAUUUAUCCAUCUCUGUCGAUUGACAUUUUUUAAUGACUGUUUUCGAAUCUCCCCUUAUUGUGACUGAUCGAAGGCCCAGUGAAAUACCCAGCUUGAUUGCUUGUAAACAAGCGAAUGCCUCUGCAAGAAAUGGGGAUGAGACAUUGGAAUGAAGGGUUGUUUUUAAGACUCUUAUCUCUCCCUUCCAGUUUCGUACAAUGACCCCCGACGCUGAUCUGGACCUGUUUGCAUCAAAAGCUGCAUCAAAUUGUAUUGUGUCCUCCAUUUUCUCCUCCGUCUCUGUAUUUUGGCAGUCUUCAAGGUACGUCUUUCCUUACCCACUCCUUCAAGUUCUGCUAUAUAGCUCUCUACUUUCUGUGUAAGGUUCCUUCCUGAUGUGUUUUUUCUCAUGUACCAUUUGAUUUCGUGAGCUCCAUAUGAUCCAUAAAGCGCAACAAAACAUCUGACACUGUUCCUUAGUUCCUUUUGCAAAUACCCAUGUAAGCCAUGUUUUGGUAUUUUGAUCUGAAUAUGAUGUAACCCAAUCCAUGUUAAUAUUCUGCCAAACUUCAGUAAUUGUAGGGCAUUGCUGGAAUACAUGGAAGCUGUCCUCUUCCCCGGAGCCACAACGAGGGCAUCUCACGUUUGUGGUUAUUCGCUUGUAUCGUAGGUUGGCUAGUGUAGGAAUAUAAUUCCAGGAUAUCCGCUAGACAAACAGUAGAGUUUUUGAUGGAAGUUGUAAAUCCCAUAACUUUCUGUAGAAUUCUUUAAAAUCUGUCUAUAAUAAGUUAUUAAAAAUCGAAUCAACUUCUUGUAAUAGUUUAUAGGCACUCCGUACAGAGAACUCUCCGGUCGGUUCACCUUUCCAAACGUGUAAGUCUUCACUGUUCGUUUCUGCAAGUGGUAUCUCCAAAAAUUUUUGAGCUAUAUCUGAUUGAAAGGUACUAAUAAUGACCUCCGUUUUCCACUUCUUAUUUGUUCCAUCAAUUAAAUCUGAUACUAUUUUUAGUUCCCUAUUUUCAUCUCCGUUCUGCCAUGUACUAGGUUCAAUCCUUGGAAUCCACCGAUUUGUCCAGAAGGAAACAUUGUUUCCUCUCCAACUCUCCAACUUAGCCCUGGAAGGAGGAGUCUCUUUGUUGCCCAGAUGCUCUUCCAGGUAAGAGAAG